This 74-nucleotide transfer RNA is filed under the name Anguilla anguilla (European eel). RNAcentral's name for it is "tRNA-OTHER". Lineage: Eukaryota; Metazoa; Chordata; Actinopteri; Anguilliformes; Anguillidae. The record is from RNAcentral.
GACACAGUGGCAUAGUGGUUAGCACUGUCGCCUCACAGCAAGAAGGUCGUGGGUUCGAAUCUCGACUUGUGGCC